GUCCUAGCCCUAAACGGUGCAUGUUUGCUGUAAGAGGAAUCGACCCCUUUGUGGCGAAGCUAACGCGUUAAACAUGCCGCCUGGGAAGUACGGCCGCAAGGUUAAAACUCAAAGAAAUUGACGGGGGCCUGCACAAGCGGUGGAGUAUGUGGCUUAAUUCGAUGCAACGCGAAGAACCUUACCUGGCCUUGACAUGCAAGUAGUAGAACCGUGAAAGCGGGACGAGGUAGCAAUACCAGCUUGCACAGGUGCUGCAUGGCUGUCGU
Molecule: ribosomal RNA, 266 nt
Filed under: uncultured bacterium
Lineage: Bacteria
Description: partial 16S ribosomal RNA
Rfam family: Bacterial small subunit ribosomal RNA
Source: RNAcentral